This 248-nucleotide ribosomal RNA is filed under the name uncultured bacterium. RNAcentral describes it as "partial 16S ribosomal RNA". It matches the Rfam family "Bacterial small subunit ribosomal RNA", at positions 15 to 258 of the family's 1533-position model. The record is from RNAcentral.
GAUCAUGGCUCAGAUUGAACGCUGGCGGCAGGCCUAACACAUGCAAGUCGAACGGUAACAGGAAACAGCUUGCUGUUUCGCUGACGAGUGGCGGACGGGUGAGUAAUGUCUGGGAAACUGCCUGAUGGAGGGGGGAUAACUACUGGAAACGGUAGCUAAUACCGCAUAACGUCGCAAGACCAAAGAGGGGGACCUUCGGGCCUCUUGCCAUCGGAUGUGCCCAGAUGGGAUUAGCUAGUAGGUGGGGG